CUGAAGCAACAAAUGCCCUGCUUCCAGGAAAAGCCUCUAAGCAUCAGGUAACAUCAAAUCGUACCCCAAACCGACACAGGUGGUCAGGUAGAGAAUACCAAGGCGCUUGAGAGAACUCGGGUGAAGGAACUAGGCAAAAUGGUGCCGUAACUUCGGGAGAAGGCACGCUGACACGUAGGUGAAGUGAUUUACUCACGGAGCUGAAGUCAGUCGAAGAUACCAGCUGGCUGCAACUGUUUAUUAAAAACACAGCACUGUGCAAACACGAAAGUGGACGUAUACGGUGUGACGCCUGCCCGGUGCCGGAAGGUUAAUUGAUGGGGUCAGCGCAAGCGAAGCUCCUGAUCGAAGCCCCGGUAAACGGCGGCCGUAACUAUAACGGUCCUAAGGUAGCGAAAUUCCUUGUCGGGUAAGUUCCGACCUGCACGAAUGGCGUAAUGAUGGCCAGGCUGUCUCCACCCGAGACUCAGUGAAAUUGAACUCGCUGUGAAGAUGCAGUGUACCCGCGGCAAGACGGAAAGACCCCGUGAACCUUUACUAUAGCUUGACACUGAACAUUGAGCCUUGAUGUGUAGGAUAGGUGGGAGGCUUUGAAGUGUGGACGCCAGUCUGCAUGGAGCCGACCUUGAAAUACCACCCUUUAAUGUUUGAUGUUCUAACGUGGACCCGUAAUCCGGGUUGCGGACAGUGUCUGGUGGGUAGUUUGACUGGGGCGGUCUCCUCCUAAAGAGUAACGGAGGAGCACGAAGGUUGGCUAAUCCUGGUCGGACAUCAGGAGGUUAGUGCAAUGGCAUAAGCCAGCUUGACUGCGAGCGUGACGGCGCGAGCAGGUGCGAAAGCAGGUCAUAGUGAUCCGGUGGUUCUGAAUGGAAGGGCCAUCGCUCAACGGAUAAAAGGUACUCCGGGGAUAACAGGCUGAUACCGCCCAAGAGUUCAUAUCGACGGCGGUGUUUGGCACCUCGAUGUCGGCUCAUCACAUCCUGGGGCUGAAGUAGGUCCCAAGGGUAUGGCUGUUCGCCAUUUAAAGUGGUACGCGAGCUGGGUUUAGAACGUCGUGAGACAGUUCGGUCCCUAUCUGCCGUGGGCGCUGGAGAACUGAGGGGGGCUGCUCCUAGUACGAGAGGACCGGAGUGGACGCAUCACUGGUGUUCGGGUUGUCAUGCCAAUGGCACUGCCCGGUAGCUAAAUGCGGAAGAGAUAAGUGCUGAAAGCAUCUAAGCACGAAACUUGCCCCGAGAUGAGUUCUCCCUGAGACUUAGAGUCUCCUGAAGGAACGUUGAAGACGACGACGUUGAUAGGCCGGGUGUGUAAGCGCAGCGAUGCGUUGAGCUAACCGGUACUAAUGAACCGUGAGGCUUAACCUU
This 1364-nucleotide ribosomal RNA is filed under the name Salmonella enterica. RNAcentral describes it as "partial 23S ribosomal RNA". It matches the Rfam family "Bacterial large subunit ribosomal RNA", at positions 1585 to 2925 of the family's 2925-position model. The record is from RNAcentral. Lineage: Bacteria; Pseudomonadati; Pseudomonadota; Gammaproteobacteria; Enterobacterales; Enterobacteriaceae.